GAUGAAGAACGUAGCAAAAUGCGAUAAGUAAUGUGAAUUGCAGAAUUCAGUGAAUCAUCGAAUCUUUGAACGCACAUUGCGCCCGCUGGUAUUCCGGCGGGCAUGCCUGUCCGAGCGUCAUUACAACCCUCAAGCUCAGCUUGGUGUUGGGCCCCGCCGCCCCGGCGGGCCCUAAAGUCAGUGGCGGUGCCGUCCGGCUCCGAGCGUAGUAAUUCUUCUCGCUCUGGAGGUCCGGUCGUGUGCUCGCCAGCAACCCCCAAUUUUUUUCAGGUUGACCUCGGAUCAGGUAGGGAUACCCGCUGAACUUAAGCAUAUCAAUAAGCGGAGGA
This 329-nucleotide unclassified non-coding RNA is filed under the name soil metagenome. RNAcentral describes it as "partial contains 5.8S ribosomal RNA, internal transcribed spacer 2, and large subunit ribosomal RNA". The stretch from base 1 to 120 matches the Rfam family "5.8S ribosomal RNA", at positions 35 to 154 of the family's 154-position model. The record is from RNAcentral.